GUGGGGAAUAUUGGACAAUGGGCGAAAGCCUGAUCCAGCCAUGCCGCGUGUGUGAAGAAGGUCUUCGGAUUGUAAAGCACUUUAAGUUGGGAGGAAGGGCAGUAAGUUAAUACCUUGCUGUUUUGACGUUACCGACAGAAUAAGCACCGGCUAACUUCGUGCCAGCAGCCGCGGUAAUACGAAGGGUGCAAGCGUUAAUCGGAAUUACUGGGCGUAAAGCGCGCGUAGGUGGUUCAGCAAGUUGAAGGUGAAAUCCCCGGGCUCAACCUGGGAACUGCCUCCAGAACUACUGAGCUAGAGUACGGUAGAGGGUAGUGGAAUUUCCUGUGUAGCGGUGAAAUGCGUAGAUAUAGGAAGGAACACCAGUGGCGAAGGCGACUACCUGGACUGAUACUGACACUGAGGUGCGAAAGCGUGGGGAGCAAACAGGAUUAGAUACCCGGGUAGUCC
This 450-nucleotide ribosomal RNA is filed under the name uncultured bacterium. RNAcentral describes it as "partial 16S ribosomal RNA". It matches the Rfam family "Bacterial small subunit ribosomal RNA", at positions 354 to 796 of the family's 1533-position model. The record is from RNAcentral.